RNAcentral lists this transfer RNA (78 nucleotides) under Oryctes borbonicus. It matches the Rfam family "tRNA". Rfam says of the family: Transfer RNA (tRNA) molecules are approximately 80 nucleotides in length. The record is from Rfam by way of RNAcentral. Lineage: Eukaryota; Metazoa; Arthropoda; Insecta; Coleoptera; Scarabaeidae.
GACUCGUUAGCUUAGUGGUAAGAGCGUUGCACUGAAUCAAUUCGCAAAGGUCGGCGGGUUCGAUCCCCCCACGGGUCC